UGGGGAAUAUUGCACAAUGGGCGCAAGCCUGAUGCAGCCAUGCCGCGUGUGUGAAGAAGGCCUUCGGGUUGUAAAGCACUUUCAGCGGGGAGGAAGGCGGUGAGGUUAAUAACCUCACCGAUUGACAUUACCCGCAGAAGAAGCACCGGCUAACUCCGUGCCAGCAGCCGCGGUAAUACGGAGGGUGCAAGCGUUAAUCGGAAUUACUGGGCGUAAAGCGCACGCAGGCGGUCUGUCAAGUCGGAUGUGAAAUCCCCGGGCUCAACCUGGGAACUGCAUUCGAAACUGGCAGGCUAGAGUCUUGUAGAGGGGGGUAGAAUUCCAGGUGUAGCGGUGAAAUGCGUAGAGAUCUGGAGGAAUACCGGUGGCGAAGGCGGCCCCCUGGACGAAGACUGACGCUCAGGUGCGAAAGCGUGGGGAGCAAACAGG
Molecule: ribosomal RNA, 429 nt
Filed under: Chloroflexota bacterium
Lineage: Bacteria; Bacillati; Chloroflexota
Description: Chloroflexi bacterium partial 16S ribosomal RNA
Rfam family: Bacterial small subunit ribosomal RNA
Source: RNAcentral